This 486-nucleotide ribosomal RNA is filed under the name uncultured bacterium. Its description in RNAcentral is "bacterial SSU rRNA". It matches the Rfam family "Bacterial small subunit ribosomal RNA", at positions 30 to 507 of the family's 1533-position model. The record is from RNAcentral.
AUUGAACGCUGGCGGCAUGCCUUACACAUGCAAGUCGAACGGCAGCACGGGAGCAAUCCUGGUGGCGAGUGGCGAACGGGUGAGUAAUAUAUCGGAACGUGCCCAGUCGUGGGGGAUAACGUAGCGAAAGCUACGCUAAUACCGCAUACGAUCUACGGAUGAAAGCGGGGGAUCGCAAGACCUCGCGCGAUUGGAGCGGCCGAUAUCAGAUUAGCUAGUUGGUGGGGUAAAAGCUCACCAAGGCGACGAUCUGUAGCUGGUCUGAGAGGACGACCAGCCACACUGGAACUGAGACACGGUCCAGACUCCUACGGGAGGCAGCAGUGGGGAAUUUUGGACAAUGGGCGCAAGCCUGAUCCAGCAAUGCCGCGUGCAGGAUGAAGGCCUUCGGUUGUAACUAGCUUUGUACGGUAACGAAACGGUGAGCUCUAAUAAAGACUUGCUAAUGACGGUACCGUAACGAAUAAGACACCGGCUAACUACGUG